CUCCGCCCAGCGCUGGAAAAAGGUAAGUUUUACCCCUUUUCCCCUUUCCAGAGCUGGGCGGGAGGGGGCCCCUGAGGGUGGGGGCACCCUCAGGGCACUAUAGUGCCAGGAAAACGAGUAUGUUUUCCUGGCACUAUAGUGGUCCUUUAAAGGAUCACUACAGACACCCAGAUCACAUCAGCUCAAUGAAGUUGUCUGGGUGUCAGGUCCCUCUAGUUUUAACCCUG
Molecule: non-coding RNA, 227 nt
Organism: Pelobates cultripes (western spadefoot toad)
Lineage: Eukaryota; Metazoa; Chordata; Amphibia; Anura; Pelobatidae
Source: the annotation of a GenBank genome assembly